RNAcentral lists this long non-coding RNA (310 nucleotides) under Homo sapiens (human). RNAcentral describes it as "HSALNT0088078". The record is from RNAcentral. Lineage: Eukaryota; Metazoa; Chordata; Mammalia; Primates; Hominidae.
GCAUUUCCAGUGUUGUCAAAACAGUGCCUGCCUGCAUCUGUUUUCUUCAAUUGGCCUGGGUUCCAGGGAGUGUUUGUGAGAGAGGAGAGAACAAGAGAUUGACAGUCUUGUGUUGACAUUUUGUGGCUGUUUGGAAAUGAAAACAAUCCAGGUCUGAUGUUGUAAUUCCUCCUUUUAUGGGCAAAAAGCAAUGUCUCAGCAUGAAUGAGCAUAACCGAACACACUAGGACACACCCCAGACACACUGUGUACUCCCGGGACACUCACCAUGCUUUUAGUUACUGCUGUUGUAGAAUGAAAGGCAGAAAAG